UACGGAGGGGGCUAGCGUUGUUCGGAAUUACUGGGCGUAAAGCGCGCGUAGGCGGCUUUGUAAGUCAGAGGUGAAAUCCCGGGGCUCAACUCCGGAACUGCGUUUGAAACUGCAUCGCUUGAAUCCGGGAGAGGUGAGUGGAAUUCCGAGUGUAGAGGUGAAAUUCGUAGAUAUUCGGAAGAACACCAGUGGCGAAGGCGGCUCACUGGACCGGCAUUGACGCUGAGGUGCGAAAGCGUGGGGAGCAAACAGG
RNAcentral lists this ribosomal RNA (253 nucleotides) under uncultured bacterium. Its description in RNAcentral is "partial 16S ribosomal RNA". It matches the Rfam family "Bacterial small subunit ribosomal RNA", at positions 524 to 776 of the family's 1533-position model. The record is from RNAcentral.